Molecule: long non-coding RNA, 430 nt
Filed under: Nicotiana tabacum (common tobacco)
Lineage: Eukaryota; Viridiplantae; Streptophyta; Magnoliopsida; Solanales; Solanaceae
Description: long non-coding RNA (NTAB_LNC009539)
Source: RNAcentral
GCAGACCCUCAGCCUUAAAAAUGAAAUCCUUCUUCUCAUUCAAGACAAUUUUUACACCUUAGAGAGAAAAGGGCUGAAAAAUAAUUAAAAAAACGGCUAAAAAUACAAAAAGUAUUGUUCCAUUGAUAAUCUUUGGGAAAUUCUUGUGAUACUGAUUCUGUGACAAGUUCUAAGCAACUGAAGUUUUAAAUGAGCUGAAUAUGUUUGGUAUACAAGUUUUUGGUUCACUAUUGGGUAGAUUUUGGUUCUGAGCUGUAUGUGAUAUCACUAUGGGUGCAAACUGGGCUAAAGUGGUCUUUUCUCAAUCAUUUCUGGACUGAUUUUGUUGUUGAUUCAUGUUCCUGCUACUGAGUCCAUUACUGAUUCCUCAUUUCUCUGUUUUCUUUUCAAUUUCCAGGUAUUGCCUUCAAACCUUGACGGAAAUGAAGCU